Molecule: long non-coding RNA, 378 nt
Organism: Coregonus clupeaformis (lake whitefish)
Lineage: Eukaryota; Metazoa; Chordata; Actinopteri; Salmoniformes; Salmonidae
Exons: 3
Source: RefSeq, a predicted model, not a curated record
CACAGCCCAAGAGGAGCUGCAGCUGGACCAAGUGACAGGUUCAGGGGACCAGACAGAGGAGGCUACAGCGUCCGGAUCUGGCAGCAAACUUAUCUUCCCGGGCUCUGCCAUUAGUGUGUUUCUUGAGGGAUUCAGGAAGACCUGUGAGGGCCCCAAUCCAAAUUAUAAGCUAAGGGAAAAUUGUGCCGGAAAGAUCAAAAGGGUGACGCAAUUGUUGAACUACAUGGCGAAGGAUGAGACCUACCAAUCCAAUCUCAUUUUCCUGACUAACCAUGACAAAAUAAGGGGGUGAAAGACAGCAAGGAAGCCAAGGUGGUUUCCAGAAAGACCCUGCUGGAGUGCCAGUCUCUUGCCAAGGCCAAGAUCCCAGAAGUGCUG